AACGAACGCUGGCGGCAUGCCUAACACAUGCAAGUCGAACGAGACCUUCGGGUCUAGUGGCGCACGGGUGCGUAACGCGUGGGAACCUGCCUUUAGGUUCGGAAUAACUCAGAGAAAUUUGAGCUAAUACCGGAUGAUGUCUUCGGACCAAAGAUUUAUCGCCUUUAGAUGGGCCCGCGUUGGAUUAGCUAGUUGGUGGGGUAAAGGCCUACCAAGGCGACGAUCCAUAGCUGGUCUGAGAGGAUGAUCAGCCACACUGGGACUGAGACGCGGCCCAGACUCCUACGGGAGGAAGGAGUGGGGAAUAUUGGACAAUGGGCGAAAGCAUGAUCGAGCAAUGCCGCGUGAGUGAUGAAGGCCUUAGGGUUGUAAAGCUCUUUUACCCGAGAUGAUAAUGACAGUAUCGGGAGAAUAAGCCCCGGCUAACUCCGUG
This 433-nucleotide ribosomal RNA is filed under the name uncultured bacterium. RNAcentral describes it as "partial 16S ribosomal RNA". It matches the Rfam family "Bacterial small subunit ribosomal RNA", at positions 29 to 507 of the family's 1533-position model. The record is from RNAcentral.